ACAAGUGCCGUUCAAAUAGGGCGGCACCUUGACGGUACCUAACCAGAAAGCCACGGCUAACUACGUGCCAGCAGCCGCGGUAAUACGUAGGUGGCAAGCGUUGUCCGGAAUUAUUGGGCGUAAAGGGCUCGCAGGCGGUUUCUUAAGUCUGAUGUGAAAGCCCCCGGCUCAACCGGGGAGGGUCAUUGGAAACUGGGGAACUUGAGUGCAGAAGAGGAGAGUGGAAUUCCACGUGUAGCGGUGAAAUGCGUAGAGAUGUGGAGGAACACCAGUGGCGAAGGCGACUCUCUGGUCUGUAACUGACGCUGAGGAGCGAAAGCGUGGGGAGCGAACAGGAUUAGAUACCCUGGUAGUCCACGCCGUAAACGAUGAGUGCUAAGUGUUAGGGGGUUUCCGCCCCUUAGUGCUGCAGCUAACGCAUUAAGCACUCCGCCUGGGGAGUACGGUCGCAAGACUGAAACUCAAAGGAAUUGACGGGGGCCCGCACAAGCGGUGGAGCAUGUGGUUUAAUUCGAAGCAACGCGAAGAACCUUACCAGGUCUUGACAUCCUCUGACAAUCCUAGAGAUAGGACGUCCCCUUCGGGGGCAGAGUGACAGGUGGUGCAUGGUUGUCGUCAGCUCGUGUCGUGAGAUGUUGGGUUAAGUCCCGCAACGAGCGCAACCCUUGAUCUUAGUUGCCAGCAUUCAGUUGGGCACUCUAAGGUGACUGCCGGUGACAAACCGGAGGAAGGUGGGGAUGACGUCAAAUCAUCAUGCCCCUUAUGACCUGGGCUACACACGUGCUACAAUGGACAGAACAAAGGGCAGCGAAACCGCGAGGUUAAGCCAAUCCCACAAAUCUGUUCUCAGUUCGGAUCGCAGUCUGCAACUCGACUGCGUGAAGCUGGAAUCGCUAGUAAUCGCG
This 905-nucleotide ribosomal RNA is filed under the name bacterium. RNAcentral's name for it is "bacterial SSU rRNA". It matches the Rfam family "Bacterial small subunit ribosomal RNA", at positions 449 to 1346 of the family's 1533-position model. The record is from RNAcentral.